RNAcentral lists this ribosomal RNA (1346 nucleotides) under uncultured bacterium. Its description in RNAcentral is "bacterial SSU rRNA". It matches the Rfam family "Bacterial small subunit ribosomal RNA", at positions 28 to 1381 of the family's 1533-position model. The record is from RNAcentral.
GACGAACGCUGGCGGCGUGCUUAACACAUGCAAGUCGAACGGAAAGGCCCUGCUUUUGUGGGGUGCUCGAGUGGCGAACAGGUGAGUAACACGUGAGCAACCUGCCCUUGACUUUGGGAUAACUUCAGGAAACUGGGGCUAAUACCGGAUAGGAGCUCCUGCUGCAUGGUGGGGGUUGGAAAGUUUCGGCGGUUGGGGAUGGACUCGCGGCUUAUCAGCUUGUUGGUGGGGUAGUGGCUUACCAAGGCUUUGACGGGUAGCCGGCCUGAGAGGGUGACCGGCCACAUUGGGACUGAGAUACGGCCCAGACUCCUACGGGAGGCAGCAGUGGGGAAUAUUGCACAAUGGGCGGAAGCCUGAUGCAGCAACGCCGCGUGCGGGAUGACGGCCUUCGGGUUGUAAACCGCUUUCGCCUGUGACGAAGCGUGAGUGACGGUAAUGGGUAAAGAAGCACCGGCUAACUACGUGCCAGCAGCCGCGGUGAUACGUAGGGUGCGAGCGUUGUCCGGAUUUAUUGGGCGUAAAGGGCUCGUAGGUGGUUGAUCGCGUCGGAAGUGUAAUCUUGGGGCUUAACCCUGAGCGUGCUUUCGAUACGGGUUGACUUGAGGAAGGUAGGGGAGAAUGGAAUUCCUGGUGGAGCGGUGGAAUGCGCAGAUAUCAGGAGGAACACCAGUGGCGAAGGCGGUUCUCUGGGCCUUUCCUGACGCUGAGGAGCGAAAGCGUGGGGAGCGAACAGGCUUAGAUACCCUGGUAGUCCACGCUGUAAACGGUGGGUACUAGGUGUGGGGUCCAUUCCACGGGUUCCGUGCCGUAGCUAACGCUUUAAGUACCCCGCCUGGGGAGUACGGCCGCAAGGCUAAAACUCAAAGGAAUUGACGGGGCCCCGCACAAGCGGCGGAGCAUGCGGAUUAAUUCGAUGCAACGCGUAGAACCUUACCUGGGUUUGACAUGGAUCGGGAGCGCUCAGAGAUGGGUGUGCCUCUUUUGGGGUCGGUUCACAGGUGGUGCAUGGCUGUCGUCAGCUCGUGUCGUGAGAUGUUGGGUUAAGUCCCGCAACGAGCGCAACCCUUGUUCACUGUUGCCAGCACGUUAUGGUGGGGACUCAGUGGAGACCGCCGGGGUCAACUCGGAGGAAGGUGGGGAUGACGUCAAGUCAUCAUGCCCCUUAUGUCCAGGGCUUCACGCAUGCUACAAUGGCUGGUACAGAGAGUGGCGAGCCUGUGAGGGUGAGCGAAUCUCGGAAAGCCGGUCUCAGUUCGGAUUGGGGUCUGCAACUCGACCUCAUGAAGUCGGAGUCGCUAGUAAUCGCAGAUCAGCAACGCUGCGGUGAAUACGUUCCCGGGGCU